Molecule: RNA transcript, 2704 nt
Organism: Petromyzon marinus (sea lamprey)
Lineage: Eukaryota; Metazoa; Chordata; Hyperoartia; Petromyzontiformes; Petromyzontidae
Source: RefSeq, a predicted model, not a curated record
GGGGGUUGAAGGCGCGCGGGGCCACGUGGCUCCCCUCCCCGCGGGGUCAACACCGCCAGCCCCGCGGCGGCCUGGAGCGCAAAGCCCCUCCGAGUCAAACAGUCAAAGUGUCCCUCGGCAUCGAGCGACGGUGGGGGCGCUGCUUAUCUCUCCAGCGGUGGUCCUAAGCCGGUGGUGGAAAGCGCCACCGUGGGUUGGCUGUCUUAUUGUUUGUUUUAAGGCGGCAGAGAUCAUGUUGGCAUGGGCGUCGCCACCACUGGACGGACCCCGCCUGCCCCACUCCCUCCCUCCACGGUACCGGGGCCGCCGGAGCCGAGCCCGGACCGAACGCGAGGAACGUCACCGUAGUCCGUGCUGUGGCGAGGGAGUUAACAUCUCGUCACGGCGGGACACCGGGGUGUCAUGGGGGGUGUUGUUAGGUGUAAGACGUUGUCCAGACGAGUUGUGUUCGCUAUUCACGUGGGGAGGAGGAAGCCUGGAGCAGCCGGAGAAAACCCCACGCCUCGCGCGAGGGAUGCAGCAGCAUCACUCCAUCCCCGUACAGAUGGAAACAGAUGGCGAUCGUCCAAGCCCUCGCCUACCACAGUGCUGCCUUACAGCCCACGUCGCUACUCGCAAAGCUCUCGCGUCUUCUCGGAAUGACCGCUAACGACAGGCGCAACAGACCAGAGGGCUCCGUCAUUACAGCAUCGUGUGCGACACAAAGGUGCGAAGCCGACGCAGGAGAGCCGCUGCCCAGCCACCCCCCGACCCCGCCUGAAGGGGUCGAGGAAACGUGGCCAUCUGAACGUGGCAGCAGUGUGGUCGGCAACCUGCGACUGAGGAGCGACGUGUGCCUCUUUAAGGACUGCUUCGUGACGUCGUCCAUCAAGGACCACACCGUCUUGUCUUCACCACGUGGCUUCGUGACGUCGUCCAUCAAGGAUCGCACCGUCUUGUCUUCACCACGUGGCUUCGUGACGUCGUCCAUCAAGGAUCGCACCGUUUUGUCUUCACCACGUGGCUUCGUGACGUCGUCCAUCAAGGACCACACCGUCUUGUCUUCACCACGUGGCUUCGUGACGUCGUCCAUCAAGGAUCGCACCGUCUUGUCUUCACCACGUGGCAUCGUGAAGUCGUCCAUCAAGGACCACACCGUCUUGUCUUCAUCACGUGGCUUCCUGACGUCGUCCAUCAAGGACCACACCGUCUUGUCUUCACCACGUGGCUUCGUGACGUCAUCCAUUAAGGACCACACCGUCUUUUCUUCACCACGUGGCUUCAUGACGUCGUCCAUCAAGGACCACACCGUCUUGUCACCACGUGGCUUCGUGACGUCCAUUCAGGACCACACCGUCUUGUCUUCACGUGGCAUCGUGACGUCGCCCAUUCAGGACCACACCAUCUUGUCUUCACCACGUGGCUUCGUGACGUCGUCCAUUCAGGACCACACCGUCUAGCCUUCACCACGUGGCAUCGUGACGUCGUCCAUCAAGGACCACACCGUCUUGUCUUCACCACGUGGCAUCGUGACGUCGGCCAUUCAGGACCACACCGUCUUGUCUUCACCACGUGGCUUCGUGACGUCGUCCAUUCAGGACCACACCGUCUUGUCUUCACCACGUGGCUUCGUGACGUCGUCCAUUCAGGACCACACCGUCUUGUCUUCACCACGUGGCUUCGUGACGUCGUCCAUCAAGGACCACACCAUCUUGUCUUCACCACGUGGCUUCGUGACGUCGUCCAUUCAGGACCACACCGUCUUGUCUUCACUACGUGGCUUCGUGACGUCGUCCAUUCAGGACCACACCGUCUUGUCUUCACCACGUGGCAUUGCGGCUCUUGAAAUAUUGAGGGGCUUUUUUACCGAAUUGGGAGACAAUUGCUCUGCUUAUUAUUUGUUUUGUCUUGCCGAACCCUGGCCCCGUGUUGCCCUGCUCUGCACAAUACGCACGCACAUAUCAAAGCUGCGAGCGAACGUUCACCGAAACGAACGUGGAUGACGUAUAUAUAAAAAAGCCGUGUUGCAUGUUUUCAUUCCACGGAUAACAUUGACUCCACUGUCUCAAUCGCUGCGGUGUUUUAUGCAGCUCUCUGAACAAGUGCGUCUCUGUGUGUGUGUGUGUGUGCAGGGGGCUAAGCGGACGCGGCUUUGGGCUAGAGAAUAGAUGAGCUGAUGCGGUACAGGAGGAUGUGGAGCUGUGUGGACUUGCCGUAGACUGGUGCCAAGAAGGGUCUCUCUGGAGGAGGUGAGAAGUAUCUCACGGAGCUGCAUUAUCUGCGACCCGGACAAUGAUCGGAUCGGAGAGUAUUCAUCGUAUCCAUUCUACACACUAGAAAGUUGUGGCGUCCUGCCAAGUUAUCCCAGUCGGGGGGCCGACGUUGCCGCGGCCGCUGCUGUGCGAUCCCAAGUGAGUAAUUUGCAGGCAAUAUUUCAGCAUUAGGAUGUUUGGCCAAUACCAGUUACAUGGCGUGUGUGUGUGUGUGUUUUUGCUUUAGCUUUCGGAGGAAACUGGGGAACGCGGAGGAGCUCCGUGUAGUAGGGCAGGGGGAGAACGCACACACUACACACGCACAAAGGUGCCCGAGUCGGGAGUCACCAGUGUUACCACUGCAGCACCCUAAACUACUCAGCGAACGCUGCAAAUGCAUCAAUAAUGAUACUGCACGAAAUAUUUAACGAAUCCACGAAAGGGAAUUUGACAUGCAAACACACCUGAAAAUA